AGCAGCCGCGGUAAUUCCAGCUCCAAUAGCGUAUAUUAAAGUUGUUGCAGUUAAAAAGCUCGUAGUUGAAUUUCGGGGUUAGUAGGUUGGUCAUGCCUCUGGUAUGUACUGGUCUCACUGAUUCCUCCUUCCUGAUGAGCCGUAAUGCCAUUAAUUUGGUGUUGCGGGGAAUUUGGACUGUUACUUUGAAAAAUUAGAGUGUUUAAAGCAAGCUAACGCUUGAAUACAUUAGCAUGGAAUAAUGAAAUAGGACGUUCGAUCCUAUUUUGUUGGUUUCUAGGAUUGACGUAAUGAUUAAUAGGGAUAGUUGGGGCAUUAGUAUUCAAUUGUCAGAGGUGAAAUUCUUGGAUUUAUUGAAGACUAACUACUGCGAAAGCAUUUGCCAAGGAUGUUUUCAUUAAU
RNAcentral lists this ribosomal RNA (402 nucleotides) under uncultured Glomus. Its description in RNAcentral is "SSU rRNA". It matches the Rfam family "Eukaryotic small subunit ribosomal RNA", at positions 569 to 977 of the family's 1831-position model. The record is from RNAcentral. Lineage: Eukaryota; Fungi; Glomeromycota; Glomeromycetes; Glomerales; Glomeraceae.